AAUUAAAACAGUAGUCUCAAAACAUUAGUCAAAUUAAAACAUCUAUAUUAUUAAUUAGGAAGCAUUGGAUAAUAAAUAACCUUAUAAAGGGUAAAGAAUUACAAAAAAUGCCAUUGGUUUUUAGUGUUUUUAAAUAACUUCAUUAAGGGUACAAUAGUAAUCACAAAAUUAAUAUAUUUAAAUAAAAAAUAGUUUAAUUCUUUUAAAUACUUACUAAUUUCCAAAAAAAAAAACUAAUUUUCUCUCUCUUAUUAAUUAUAAACGAAAAUUUGAAAUUAAUUUUUUAAAAAUUGUUAACCAAUAGGAAUUGAAAAACUAAGAUUUGAUAUCCAACUAAGAUUUUUUCUAAACCAAUCCUAAUAGACUAUUCUAUAUCAAAAAUACAAAUAAAAAUAAUAUCAUUUUAAUUCAAAAUUAAAAAAAACUAUCAUUUAAAAAGAUUUAUCAAUGGAGGAUUUUAAGAUUGAAUUUAAAAUUUGGUAAAAAAAUUAAAUGCAAAUAUUUUAAUAUUCAGUUUUGUUAUAAUAUUUUUAUUACAAAUUUUGAAAUAUAAAACGAAAUUUUAUUUCAUAAUUUCUAAAAAACCAUAUUAAAUAUUAACAAAUAUUUAUUUUUACUAUGAAAUAAACUCAAAUAAUAAUAAAUUUUAAGUAAUUAUCAUAAUGGUUUUCGUUUAGAGCAAUUUUCGAAAAAAUCUAAACAAUAGAAUGUACAUAUUAAUUUUGAAAUAUUUUGUGUUUUAUUUUUUUCUUUUCAACUCAGAUCUUCCUUAAAUAAUAACUAGAUGCAAAUAUUAUUUAAGGAAGAUUUUAAGAUUGAAUUUGAAAUUUGGUAAAAAAAUUAAAUGCAAAUAUUUUAAUAUUCAGUUUUGUUAUAAUAUUUUUAUUACAAAUUUUGAAAUAUAAAACGAAAUUUUAUUUCAUAAUUUCUAAAAAACCAUAUUAAAUAUUAACAAAUAUUUAUUUUUACUAUGAAAUAAACUCAAAUAAUAAUAAAUUUUAAGUAAUUAUCAUAAUGGUUUUCGUUUAGAGCAAUUUUUGAAAAAAUCUAAACAAUAGAAUGUACAUAUUAAUUUUGAAAUAUUUUGUGUUUUAUUUUUUUCUUUUCAACUCAGAUCUUCCUUAAAUAAAUCCAUAAUAUAUUGCACACAGUUUUUGAAAUUAUGUAAACUAAUUAUAUAUUUUGCAUUCAACACAAAUUAUGCAACAAUAGCAUAUCCCUUUUAUAGAUGUAUCUAAAACUUUUAUUUUUAGUCCAAAUAUUGAACUAAUUAUGAUUAAACAAUGAAAAGAAGAAUAUGCAAAAUUUAGCUAAGGAAAGAAACAUUAAUAAAUUUGUUAAAAUAUUUGUAACUUUAACAUCAUACAUAUUAAUCCGCAAAACUCACAGUAUGUAUUUUAUGAUAUUUUAAAGUAAGCAAACAAGAAUUUGGAACAUGGUUUUAAUGGAAUGAAAUGAGAAUAAGAAUUACGAGACGGGAUGGCAGAGGAACAUAAAUUAAAAAUCAAACUUAAUACUCAACUGGUAUGAGUUUGUGUUAUGAGCACUAUAUAAAAUAAAUUUGUUUACACACAUAACCUUAUACGUACAUUUUUAGUUACAAUUUAUGACAGAUACGGGACCGUAAUAUUUUUAUUUCACGUAUACGAGACGGGUUAUGGGACGAAAAAUUUAUGACAUAUACAAGACGGGAUAGGUUUCCUGUUCCAAAAUAGUUACGCCUAGCUAAUAUACAUGAAAUAAUCCAAACUAAACCGAAUAUGUAUCCUAUUUAACACAUGUAAUCAAACUGUUAGAAAUGUUUUGAAUAGUUUAGAAAAUAAAAACGUAACAUCACUUAACUUUUGCAACUAAAUAAUAUCUUAAUUUUAUAUUAAAUACAAUUUCACACGUACGUGUAGGUCCGAAUCUUAAAAUAUAACUAUGCACUAACGCAACUAAAUUUCGUUCAUUACUCUAACUUUAUAAUAUCUAUAUUAUUAUAAAGUUCACUAACACAACAAAAUAUUUUAUAUUUUUAAAAUCUAUAUAACAAUUUCUAAAAAAAUAUCUCUGCACGUACAUGUGGAUCUAGAUCUAAUACACUAAAAUAUACAUCAUAAAAACAAUAAAAUAAUCUAUAUUGUAUGAAAAUUUGUAAGAAAUGUUUUUGAAAUAUGAAACCCCGCACGUACGUGCGGGUCAGGAUCUAGUAAGUUCUAAAAGGGAGAUUACAAAAUACUUGAAAUUAAAAGACUUGUGAAGGAGAGGAUCCUAGUACAGAACAGGUUCUGGUACCGGUUCCUGCCUCGGUUCUGGUCUGAUCAGCUCCCGUCUCGGAUCCGGUCUGAACACCUCCCGUCUCGUUGCCCUCUCGUCGCGUUUGCAUUUUCCGGUUCGGAUCCUCCUCGAUACAUGUCUUCAAACACUGGAUCUUUCUGUGCGAGUUAUUCAAAGUAGGCAUCGAAGCUAUGGAUCUUCUCAGCCUGGGAUUGAAGAAGAGCUUCAGCGACAGCAAGCUUCUACGAUAGAACAACCAGAUCAUUAUGAGUAGGCGGUGGACCAACAUGGACUGAGGAUGCUUCAUGCUGCAGAAAACCAACUCCAUAAAUCCUUCCUUUCUUCCUUGGAGCAACCUGAUACAAACCACACAAAUAUAAUGAGUUGGCUGCCAAGAUCAAGAGAAACUCCUACCAAAUACACAAGUAUA
Molecule: long non-coding RNA, 2689 nt
Filed under: Arabidopsis lyrata
Lineage: Eukaryota; Viridiplantae; Streptophyta; Magnoliopsida; Brassicales; Brassicaceae
Description: long non-coding RNA (ALYR_LNC001415)
Source: RNAcentral